AACGAACGCUGGCGGCAGGCCUAACACAUGCAAGUCGAACGAGAGCUUCGGGCCUGGUGGCGCAUGCGUGCGUAACGCGGGGGAACCUGCCCUUAGGUUCGGAAUAACUCCCGGAAAGGGGUGCUAAUACCGGAUAAUGUCCUCGGACCAAAGAUUUAUCGCCUUUGGGGGGGCCCGCGAUGUAUAAGCUGGUUGGUAGGGUAAAAGCCUACCAAGGCGACGAUCGAUAGAUGGUAUGAGAGGAAAAGCAGACACACUGGGAGGAGGAAACGGCCGGGACUCUUAGGCGAUGGGGGAGUGGCGAAUCCUGGAAUAUGGCGUGAAGCCUGAUCGAGUUCUGCUGCUUAAGCGAUUAAGGCUUGAGGGUAGUAAAGUUCUUUUACACGGGAUGGUAAUGACGGUACCGGGAGAAUAAGCACCGGCUAACUUCGUG
RNAcentral lists this ribosomal RNA (433 nucleotides) under uncultured bacterium. RNAcentral describes it as "partial 16S ribosomal RNA". It matches the Rfam family "Bacterial small subunit ribosomal RNA", at positions 29 to 507 of the family's 1533-position model. The record is from RNAcentral.